RNAcentral lists this ribosomal RNA (112 nucleotides) under Bacteroidota bacterium. The record is from RNAcentral. Lineage: Bacteria; Pseudomonadati; Bacteroidota. RNAcentral also lists the same sequence under 1 other name.
GUUGGUGGUUAUAGCAUAGGGGUUCACCUCUUCCCAUUCCGAACAGAGAAGUUAAGCCCUAUAGCGCCGAUGGUACUACCCUAUCAGGUGGGAGAGUAGGUCGCUGCCAACU